AAUGAACGCUGGCGGCGCGCCUAAUACAUGCAAGUCGAGCGAGAAGACGUAGCAAUACGUUUGUAAAGCGGCGAACGGGUGAGGAAUACAUGGGUAACCUACCCUCGAGUGGGGAAUAACUAGCCGAAAGGUUAGCUAAUACCGCGUACGCUUCUUGGACUUCGGUUCAGGGAGGAAAGCGAUACCGUGGGUAUCGCGCUCUUGGUUGGGCUCAUGUCCUAUCAGCUUGUUGGUGAGGAACGGCUCACCAAGGCUUCGACGGGUAGCUGGUCUGAGAGGACGAUCAGCCACACUGGCACUGCGACACGGGCCAGACUCCUACGGGAGGCAGCAGUAAGGAAUAUUGCGCAAUGGGCGAAAGCCUGACGCAGCGACGCCGCGUGGGGGAUGAAGGUCUUCGGAUUGUAAACCCCUUUCGGGAGGGAAGAUGGAACGAGCAAUCGUUCGGACGGUACCU
Molecule: ribosomal RNA, 457 nt
Filed under: uncultured bacterium
Lineage: Bacteria
Description: bacterial SSU rRNA
Rfam family: Bacterial small subunit ribosomal RNA
Source: RNAcentral